GAGGGUAUAGCUCAGUGGCAGAGUGCCUGCCUAGCAUGCACAAGGUUCUGGGUUCAAUCCCCAGUACCUUCG
This 72-nucleotide transfer RNA is filed under the name Camelus bactrianus (Bactrian camel). It matches the Rfam family "tRNA". Rfam says of the family: Transfer RNA (tRNA) molecules are approximately 80 nucleotides in length. Lineage: Eukaryota; Metazoa; Chordata; Mammalia; Artiodactyla; Camelidae. The record is from Rfam by way of RNAcentral. RNAcentral also lists the same sequence under 2 other names.